Long non-coding RNA from Oxyura jamaicensis (ruddy duck), 156 nucleotides. RefSeq lists it as uncharacterized. The transcript has 3 exons. Lineage: Eukaryota; Metazoa; Chordata; Aves; Anseriformes; Anatidae. The record is from RefSeq and is a predicted model, not a curated record.
CCUGUUCCACAGUGACGGGGCUCCUAAAAUAAAUUAAAUACACGAGGAAGAAAGGCAAGGAAGGGGGUGGUUGGUGCUGGAGAGGUGGUCGCAGAGAGCACUUUGGGGUAUGCCAUGUGGGGAAGCACCAUGAAGAUGCUCACUGCAAGUACCUAC